GGUGGCUCAGUGGUAGAGCGCUUGCCUUACAUGUAUGAUGCCCUGGGUUCGAUUCCUCAGCACCA
This 65-nucleotide transfer RNA is filed under the name Dipodomys ordii (Ord's kangaroo rat). It matches the Rfam family "tRNA". Rfam says of the family: Transfer RNA (tRNA) molecules are approximately 80 nucleotides in length. The record is from Rfam by way of RNAcentral. Lineage: Eukaryota; Metazoa; Chordata; Mammalia; Rodentia; Heteromyidae.